CCUACGGGAGGCAGCAGUGGGGAAUAUUGGGCAAUGGGCGCAAGCCUGACCCAGCAACGCCGCGUGAAGGAAGACGGCUUUCGGGUUGUAAACUUCUUUUGACCGGGAAGAGUAGAGGACGGUACCUGUCGAAUCAGCCACGGCUACCUACGUGCCAGCAGCCGCGCUAAUACGUAGGUGGCAAGCGUUGUCCGGAUUUACUGGGUUUAAGGGGCGUUUAGGCGGGUUGACAAGUCAGAUGUGAAAUCCUGCGGCUUAACCGCAGAACUGCAUUUGAAACUGUUGAUCUGGAGUACUGGAGAGGUAGACGGAAUGCGUGGUGUAGCGGUGAAAUGCGUAGAUAUCAGGAGGAACACCAGUGGCGAAGGCGGUCUGCGGGACAGCAACUGACGGUGAGGCGCGAAAGCGUGGGGAGCAAACAGGAUUAGAUACCCUGGUAGUC
Molecule: ribosomal RNA, 442 nt
Filed under: uncultured bacterium
Lineage: Bacteria
Description: partial 16S ribosomal RNA
Rfam family: Bacterial small subunit ribosomal RNA
Source: RNAcentral